CCGUAGCCCAAGAGAUCGGGAUAACACCUGGAAACAGAUGCUAAUACCGGAUAANAACAGAUGAUGCCUAUCAACUGUUUAAAAGAUGGUUCUGCUAUCACUCUUGGAUGGACCUGCGGUGCAUUAGCUAGUUGGUAGGGUAACGGCCUACCAAGGCGAUGAUGCAUAGCCGAGUUGAGAGACUGAUCGGCCACAUUGGGACUGAGACACGGCCCAAACUCCUACGGGAGGCAGCAGGC
RNAcentral lists this ribosomal RNA (239 nucleotides) under uncultured Lactobacillus sp. RNAcentral's name for it is "partial 16S ribosomal RNA". It matches the Rfam family "Bacterial small subunit ribosomal RNA", at positions 125 to 354 of the family's 1533-position model. Lineage: Bacteria; Bacillati; Bacillota; Bacilli; Lactobacillales; Lactobacillaceae. The record is from RNAcentral.